This 460-nucleotide ribosomal RNA is filed under the name uncultured bacterium. RNAcentral describes it as "partial 16S ribosomal RNA". It matches the Rfam family "Bacterial small subunit ribosomal RNA", at positions 338 to 795 of the family's 1533-position model. The record is from RNAcentral.
CCUACGGGAGGCAGCAGUGAGGAAUAUUGGUCAAUGGACGCAAGUCUGAACCAGCCAUGCCGCGUGCAGGAAGACGGCUCUAUGAGUUGUAAACUGCUUUUGUACGAGGGUAAACGCAGAUACGCGUAUCUGUCUGAAAGUAUCGUACGAAUAAGGAUCGGCUAACUCCGUGCCAGCAGCCGCGGUAAUACGGAGGAUUCAAGCGUUAUCCGGAUUUAUUGGGUUUAAAGGGUGCGUAGGCGGUCGGAUAAGUUAGAGGUGAAAUCCCGAGGCUCAACUUCGGAAUUGCCUAUGAUACUGUUCGGCGAGAGAGUAGUUGCGGUAGGCGGAAUGUAUGGUGUAGCGGUGAAAUGCUUAGAGAUCAUACAGAACACCGAUUGCGAAGGCAGCUUACCAAGCUACUUCUGACGUUGAGGCACGAAAGCGUGGGGAGCAAACAGGAUUAGAUACCCGUGUAGUC